UACGGAGGAUGCAAGCGUUAUCCGGAAUGAUUGGGCGUAAAGCGUCCGUAGGUGGUUUUGUAAGUCUGUGGUUAAAGCGUGGAGCUUAACUCCAUAAGGGCCAUGGAAACUACAUAACUUGAGUGAAGUAGGGGUAGAGGGAAUUCCCAGUGUAGCGGUGAAAUGCGUAGAGAUUGGGAAGAACACCGGUGGCGAAAGCGCUCUACUGGACUUAUACUGACACUGAGGGACGAAAGCUAGGGGAGCGAAAGGG
RNAcentral lists this ribosomal RNA (253 nucleotides) under uncultured bacterium. RNAcentral's name for it is "partial 16S ribosomal RNA". It matches the Rfam family "Bacterial small subunit ribosomal RNA", at positions 524 to 776 of the family's 1533-position model. The record is from RNAcentral.